This 508-nucleotide ribosomal RNA is filed under the name uncultured bacterium. RNAcentral describes it as "partial 16S ribosomal RNA". It matches the Rfam family "Bacterial small subunit ribosomal RNA", at positions 30 to 523 of the family's 1533-position model. The record is from RNAcentral.
AUUGAACACUGGCGGCAGGCCUAACACAUGCAAGUCGAGCGGCAGCGGGAAAGUAGCUUGCUACUUUUGCCGGCGAGCGGCGGACGGGUGAGUAAUGCCUGGGAAAUUGCCCAGUCGAGGGGGAUAACAGUUGGAAACGACUGCUAAUACCGCAUACGCCCUACGGGGGAAAGCAGGGGACCUUCGGGCCUUGCGCGAUUGGAUAUGCCCAGGUGGGAUUAGCUAGUUGGUGAGGUAAUGGCUCACCAAGGCGACGAUCCCUAGCUGGUCUGAGAUGAUGAUCAGCCACACUGGAACUGAGACACGGUCCAGACUCCUACGGGAGGCAGCAGUGGGGAAUAUUGCACAAUGGGGGAAACCCUGAUGCAGCCAUGCCGCGUGUGUGAAGAAGGCCUUCGGGUUGUAAAGCACUUUCAGCGAGGAGGAAAGGUUGAUGCCUAAUACGUAUCAACUGUGACGUUACUCGCAGAAGAAGCACCGGCUAACUCCGUGCCAGCAGCCGCAGUAA